Molecule: long non-coding RNA, 3276 nt
Filed under: Meleagris gallopavo (turkey)
Lineage: Eukaryota; Metazoa; Chordata; Aves; Galliformes; Phasianidae
Description: lncRNA (ENSMGAG00000021566.1)
Source: RNAcentral
CCCCAUCAGAUGUUGCUUAUACUAAUGCCAACUGAUGGAAACACAACAUUUUGGAAUUGGGAUGCAAAAGACAGAGCUCACAUGUGGAAGACAGUACGGAGUGAUACAGCGCAAAGAUGUUCAAACUUUGGUACAUAAGCUGUUUUCAGUGGCUUUCCAGAAGCAACUCCAGCUGUCUAAACCUCUGCACCCAUGCCUGCCUGCUGCCACACAGGUGCUCACCUGGCUCGUACAGCACCAGGACAAAUGCAGCUGUCUCACAGCUUGUCAUCUAUGUGGCUCUCCACAGGGGAUGUCACCAGACAGCAAAGCAUUUAGUCCAAAAAGAGUAUCGUGUGUGACUAUACAAAUUCAACAUACGACCAAGGUAAGACUACUCAUUAGCCACUGAAAUCCCUCAGAACUACGAGAUAGGAGCUGUUCUUUACUGAGUAGAGCGUAGUGUCCUCACAAGCAUUUAUUUUCCUUUACAACUUCCCCUUGAAAAGGUUUCAGACAGCCAACAGUAUGGCUUAAAUCCCAAACUAGGUCAGCGCGAAAUUUCCAUCCAUAUUUUGGUUCCUUACUUUGUGGUUUCUCUUUUCGUCUUUCCUUUUGAUCACAGCAACAGAAACAACAUUUUAUCCAUUUUUACUAGAAAAAAAAAAGAAGUAACAUAGCCAGAAAGGUAAUGAUUAAUCCAUUCUGUAAGAAAAAGAAAAGUUCUGCUUGUAAACCUACUGGUAUUAUCUCGCCAGUAUAAAUAGAAACAUGCUCAGAGAAGGCACAGGAUGGAAAACUCAUGAUGAAUUGUUAGGGCAUGUUGCGUUGGUUCUGUCAAUGCCUGCAGUCAGAUGAUUUCACUGGCUGUACAGGAUGAAAUCUCAUAUUUCAAUGUAUAAGUAAAAGUGUCAAAGUUCAGCUGAAGCAGGGACGAUUACAGAGCAAAUUUUGUGUGUAUUUGUAGCCAGGGCACCAGAGCAAUAGAAGAAGCCAAAAUGAGCCGGAAAAACAAAAGGAGUUUAAAGGAGAAAUUUGCCUUGAAGAACAGCUUGGUUAAAGAAGCCCUUUCAGAAUUCCUGGGAACUUUUAUACUGAUAGUAAGUGUCAGCUGCUUUCCUUCCUUCUUACUAAUUUAAUGUUGGACAGUGCUCGUAAGGGGACAUGUGUGCUUUUUCCUUGUACUAUACCAGCAGCGUGGUUACUGCCUGACAAACACUGCACAGCCUUGAAUGAAUUGCUGCUGUUUAUGGUAAGUUUGUAAUUCCUUUCUUCACCUGAUGUAAUUAUCACCGGCUGUUAAACACUCAUAGUUUUACGUAUUACAACUGUCUGAUAAACAUUUGAUUUUUAAAGGAGCAGAAUUUGAGUGAACAGCCACGUUCUAAAAAGUUCAGACGCAAUGAAUGUUAGCAAUACUCCUGCAUUCUUUAACUCUGUAUUUUAUUCUACUUUCACUUCUAUGUACAAUUUCCAUUUGCUUUAACAACCCCACUGGACUGCACAUUUAGAAGAUAAUUUUAGCUGUUAUUUUCCUGUGCUCACAGAGACUGAUCCAUGUGACUUGUACUGAGCUUAUCAAGUUGUGCUGCCGAAUCUUUAGAGAUUUUGUAAAUUAACUAUUUUUUGUUUAGUUUUCAAUUGUAUUACAUAAAUUAUACAUUUGCUUGUUAUGUAGUCUGUUACAGUGUUACAUAAAGAGCAAAGCUCCACAUUUUCACAUCCCUAAUUUUUUUUUAAACUUCAUUUCUUGCUCAAGUUUUUGUGCAUUUUGUACUGGGACACAAAGCUGUCUGGUGAUUUACCAGGGUAGAGAGCAGUCUCAGCAACAGAGCUGGAAGUCAAGCAAAUAGAAUACUUAUGCCAAACUCUUUCUCCCUCCCGUUAGUCUGACAAAACAGUUCUGUUUAUUGCUAAAUAUUUCAUCGUAGUGAAAAGACAAAAAAUUAAAAAUAAGGCAUAGGACUCACAUAGUAUGUUUUAUAACUGGAACUGUAUUAGCUAAAUUUCAAGUAAGCCAUCUAAAAAAUUCCAGUAGCUCAUAAAAUACAUGAAAAUAAUGGUCUUUACUACGCUUCAGCCAAUUGAAGGGCAGAGGCACUAAAGUAACAUUAUUCUCAAAUUUAAUACCCUCCAUAAGACAUUACAGUAAGGAGCACAUUUAGAAGCAAGGAGCACAAAGCACUUUACAAACAUAAUGAAUUAAGUGUCACAACACCCUGGUAAGGAAGGGAAAUGUCAUUAUCUUCAUUUUAUAUAUUAGCAAACCUGAUUAGAGCAGACUGCACAGGAAGCCUGUUGCAGAACUCCGAAUAUAACCAAGAUCACCUGACUUCCAGUCCUCUGUCCUCGCUACAAGAUCAUACUCCUCUGUCCAUUAAUACAAUUAAGCAAGUGAGGAAAAUGCAUUAAAGUGCAGAUUAAAUCUCAAAUGCUAUUACUUAAUGUCCUGCUGCAGAAGACUAGAAGGAAAUGGAAACCCAGAAUCCAUUUUGUAUGACAUUCAUCGUAUGAAUACAGUAGAAAGUGAAUCUUCAAAAAUGUUGUUGAUAACUUGGUGAAUUUUUCAAUUCUGUUUUAGUCCUUCUAGUUUUAACCUUAGCUUAAAGCAGAAAAGAGCCUCACAUGGAUUUAACUGCAGCUUUCCAAGUGCUCAGAUACCCCGAUUUAUUUUUAGACUGUGCUAGUUAGCAGAAGUACAAAGUUUAUUGGGAAGAAAUGGACUUUUCUGCUGCUAUUUACUGCUAUUAGACUCUGUCAGCAACUUUAAGAGCAGACAAGUACUAAAUUUUUAUCUGAAAUUAGAGCUAAUGAAAGGGAGCCCUGUUAAGUUAGGAGACAGAAAUCCUUGACAAACACCUAACAUGUAUGCAAAAUAAGCAACAGCUUUCUUUCUCUAUACUAUUACUAUGCUUUAAUCCUGUUUCAAAGUGAAAGCAAGAUGACUGCUCAUAGUCACAGGUGGUUUGGCUCUUCCCUGAAAGCCAUUCUGUGCCUCUGCCCUGUAUCUUACAGCUAGUGGGAAGCAUCUGCACCAGGGUUCAGGGCAGUGAGGAGCUCUUCCAUUACCCAUAGGUUUUGUCUAGAAGUGUUAACUGAUGGUACCCAAACCUAUGAACAUCCCAGCACCUCUGGAAGUCAGCUGGGUGAAAUUCUAUCCCCCAGACUACCUGUUUCUCUUUCUUCUAGAGAACAUCACAGAUCAUGUACUAUUAAGAGCUUAAGUUGCCAUCUUGGGUAACUCUCCACUCUUGCAAUAUUGUUUUCCAAAUUGUAUAAUGUAAAAUCUGUAGGAUU